AAAAAUUUGAUGACGAGAAGAGUAAGAUGAGUGCCCUGAUCGACAGAGAGUCGGUAAAUGGUGCAAGCCGAUGUUCAGAACUGAUCCGAAAAUCAUUCUCCGAGAUGCAAUGCUGAACUUUUUCAGUAGGUGUUGCCGGUUGGUCCGCCGUUAAAAGGAAUGCGUGUAAUGAUGCGUUGAUUGAGUGCCGUUUUUCGUGAACGGAACUAGGGUGGUAUCGCGAGUAAAACUCGUCCCUAUU
This 241-nucleotide non-coding RNA is filed under the name Mesobacillus subterraneus. Its description in RNAcentral is "Bacillus subterraneus T-box sequence". It matches the Rfam family "T-box leader". Rfam says of the family: Uncharged tRNA acts as the effector for transcription antitermination of genes in the T-box leader family. T-boxes are found upstream of many aminoacyl-tRNA synthetase genes and some amino acid biosynthetic genes usually in Gram-positive bacteria. Lineage: Bacteria; Bacillati; Bacillota; Bacilli; Caryophanales; Bacillaceae. The record is from RNAcentral.